Molecule: ribosomal RNA, 107 nt
Filed under: Myxotrichum setosum
Lineage: Eukaryota; Fungi; Ascomycota; Leotiomycetes; Myxotrichaceae
Also listed under: 8 other names
Description: partial 5.8S ribosomal RNA
Rfam family: 5.8S ribosomal RNA
About the family: 5.8S ribosomal RNA (5.8S rRNA) is a component of the large subunit of the eukaryotic ribosome. It is transcribed by RNA polymerase I as part of the 45S precursor that also contains 18S and 28S rRNA.
Source: RNAcentral
GAAAUGCGAUAAGUAAUGCGAAUUGCAGAAUUCAGUGAGUCAUCGAAUCUUUGAACGCACAUUGCGCCCUGUGGUAUUCCGCAGGGCAUGCCUGUUCGAGCGUCAUU